Molecule: non-coding RNA, 633 nt
Organism: Nicotiana tabacum (common tobacco)
Lineage: Eukaryota; Viridiplantae; Streptophyta; Magnoliopsida; Solanales; Solanaceae
Source: RefSeq, a predicted model, not a curated record
AUGGCUCGUGAUGUAUUAGCCAUUCCUAUUUCAAGUGUUGCAUCUGAAUGUGCAUUCAGCACGGGAGGUCGCAUUCUUGACUCGUUCAGGAGUUCGUUGACGCCUAAACUGGUGCAAUCUCUUAUUUGUCUUCAAGAUUGGCUUAGAAGUGAACCUAUUCCUAUUAAAGUUGAGGAAGACUUGGAGUAUCUAGAACAACUAGAACUUGAUCUGGCUGAUAGUGCAAAAGAUUCAACUAUUAUUGACAUAUAGUUGCAACAUGUACCAUGUGUGGUUUGAUCAUGGCGCCUAAAUGGAAGUGAUGCUGCAGUAAAUAGACUUCACUUGUUUCAUGCUACUUAAUGUAAUUAUUUCUCUGGUUUUGAGACUUCAGCAACAUGAAAAGUUUCUAACUUUUGGAUUACUCUUUUGGUUAUGUAAUAUGCUUGUACUAAACAAUGGAAGCAAAGUAGCAUAGAUUCUAAGUUUUUUGUUCUCUCGUGGCUGUAAGCAGUGGCAGCAAAGCAGCAUAGCUCUUUUGGUUUUUUGGUUGUGUAAUGUAGUGCUCUUUUGGUUGUAACUACUAACUACUCCCUACUCCCUAGUUUAUAUUUGUUUUGUAUGAUUGUGGGAUCUUGUAUGGACCAAGUAGAG